RNAcentral lists this ribosomal RNA (496 nucleotides) under uncultured bacterium. RNAcentral describes it as "partial 16S ribosomal RNA". It matches the Rfam family "Bacterial small subunit ribosomal RNA", at positions 28 to 507 of the family's 1533-position model. The record is from RNAcentral.
GAUGAACGCUGGCGGCGUGCCUAAUACAUGCAAGUCGAGCGAGCAGACGAGGAGCUUGCUCCUCUGACGUUAGCGGCGGACGGGUGAGUAACACGUGGAUAACCUACCUAUAAGACUGGGAUAACUUCGGGAAACCGGAGCUAAUACCGGAUAAUAUAUUGAACCGCAUGGUUCAAUAGUGAAAGACGGUUUUGCUGUCACUUAUAGAUGGAUCCGCGCCGCAUUAGCUAGUUGGUAAGGUAACGGCUUACCAAGGCAACGAUGCGUAGCCGACCUGAGAGGUGAUCGGCCACACUGGAACUGAGACACGGUCCAGACUCCUACGGGAGGCAGCAGUAGGGAAUCUUCCGCAAUGGGCGAAAGCCUGACGGAGCAACGCCGCGUGAGUGAUGAAGGUCUUCGGAUCGUAAAACUCUGUUAUUAGGGAAGAACAAAUGUGUAAGUAACUAUGCACGUCUUGACGGUACCUAAUCAGAAAGCCACGGCUAACUACGUG